Molecule: ribosomal RNA, 467 nt
Filed under: uncultured bacterium
Lineage: Bacteria
Description: bacterial SSU rRNA
Rfam family: Bacterial small subunit ribosomal RNA
Source: RNAcentral
GAUGAACGCUAGCGGCAGGCUUAACACAUGCAAGUCGAGGGCAGCAUGAAGGUUAGCAAUAACCUUUGAUGGCGACCGGCGCAAGGGUGCGUAACGCGUGAGCAACUUGCCCGUUUCUGGGGAAUAACCGGUGGAAACGCCGACUAAUACCCCAUAGCAUCAGAAUGAGGCAUCUCAAUCUGAUUAAGAAAUUCGGAAACGGAUAGGCUCGCGUGACAUUAGCUAGAUGGCGGGGUAACGGCCCACCAUGGCUACGAUGUCUAGGGGUUCUGAGAGGAAGGUCCCCCACACUGGAACUGAGAUACGGUCCAGACUCCUACGGGAGGCAGCAGUGGGGAAUAUUGGGCAAUGGGCGCAAGCCUGACCCAGCGACGCCGCGUGAGUGAAGAAGGUCUUCGGAUUGUAAACUUCUUUUAUGAGGGACGAUAGUGACGGUACCUCAUGAAUAAGCCACGGCUAACUACGUG